Molecule: ribosomal RNA, 253 nt
Filed under: uncultured bacterium
Lineage: Bacteria
Description: partial 16S ribosomal RNA
Rfam family: Bacterial small subunit ribosomal RNA
Source: RNAcentral
UACGUAGGUGGCAAGCGUUGUCCGGAAUUAUUGGGCGUAAAGGGUGCGUAGGUGGCUCUUUAAGUGGGAUGUGAAAGCCCUUGGCUCAACCAAGGAACUGCAUUCCAAACUGGAGAGCUAGAGUGCAGGAGAGGAAAGUGGAAUUCCUAGUGUAGCGGUGAAAUGCGUAGAGAUUAGGAGGAACACCAGUGGCGAAGGCGACUUUCUGGACUGUAACUGACACUGAGGCACGAAAGCGUGGGGAGCAAACAGG